RNAcentral lists this ribosomal RNA (777 nucleotides) under uncultured bacterium. Its description in RNAcentral is "bacterial SSU rRNA". It matches the Rfam family "Bacterial small subunit ribosomal RNA", at positions 61 to 850 of the family's 1533-position model. The record is from RNAcentral.
GUUGAGCGGAGAUAUAUGGAGCUUGCUUUAUAUAACUUAGCAGCGAACGGGUGAGUAACACGUAGAUAAUCUAUCCUAUACUGGGGGAUAGCCCGAUGAAAGUUGGAUUAAUACCGCAUAUAGCUAUAUAGUUGCAUGAUUAUGUAGUGAAAGAUUUAUUGGUAUAGGAGGAGUCUGCGGCACAUUAGCUAGUAGGUGAGGUAAAGGCUUACCUAGGCGACGAUGUGUAGCCGGUCUGAGAGGAUGAACGGCCACAAUGGAACUGAGACACGGUCCAUACUCCUACGGGAGGCAGCAGUGGGGAAUAUUGCACAAUGGGGGAAACCCUGAUGCAGCAACGCCGCGUGAGUGAAGAAGGUUUUCGGAUUGUAAAGCUCUGUUAGCAGGGAAGAGGAAGGGCGGUACCUGCAGAGGAAGCCACGGCUAACUACGUGCCAGCAGCCGCGGUAAUACGUAGGUGGCAAGCGUUGUUCGGAAUAACUGGGCGUAAAGGAUGCGUAGGCGGUUAAACAAGUUAUAUGUUAAAUAUAUAGGCUUAACCUGUAGAAAGCAUAUAAAACUGUUUAACUAGAGUGCAGGAGAGGUAAGUGGAAUUCCUAGUGUAGCGGUGAAAUGCGUAGAGAUUAGGAAGAACACCAGUGGCGAAGGCGACUUACUGGACUGUAACUGACGCUGAGGCAUGAGAGCAUGGGGAGCAAACAGGAUUAGAUACCCUGGUAGUCCAUGCUGUAAACGAUGGGUACUAGGUGUGGGUUGUGAAUAACAAUUCGUGCCGUC